AGAGUUUGAUUCUGGCUCAGGGUGAACGCUGGCGGCGUGCUUGACACAUGCAAGUCGAACGGUAUGUGGCAACACAUAGAGUGGCGAACGGGUGAGUAACACGUGGGAACGUACCCUACGCAGGGGGAUAACUGACCGAAAGGACAGCUAAUACCGCAUAAGACCGAAAGGUGAAAGGUGCAAAUGCACCGGCGAAGGAGCGGCCCGCGGACCAUCAGCUAGUUGGUGGGGUAAGAGCCUACCAAGGCGACGACGGUUAGCCGGCGUGAGAGCGUGGCCGGCCACAAGGACACUGAGAUACGGGUCCUACUCCUACGGGAGGCAGCAGUGCGGAAUUUUAGAUAAUGGAGGCAACUCUGAUCUAGCGACGCCGCGUGCAGGAAGAAGGUCUUCGGAUUGUAAACUGCUGUGGUAAGGGAAAAAUGCCAUGUAGAGUGGAAAGCUACAUGGAGGGAUGGUACUUUACUAGAAAGCCCCGGCUAACUACGUGCCAGCAGCCGCGGUAAUACGUAGGGGGCGAGCGUUACCCGGAAUCACUGGGCGUAAAGGGAGCGUAGGUGGCCUGACAUGUCGACUGUGAAAACCCGGAGCUCAACUCCGGACUUGCAGUUGAAACUGCCAGGCUUGAGGACGGUAGAGGAAGACGGAACUGCCAGUGUAGGGGUAAAAUCCUUAGAUAUUGGCAGGAACGCCGGUGACGAAGGUGGUUUUCUGGGCCGGUUCUGACACUGAUGCUCGAAAGCCAGGGGAGCGAACGGGAUUAGAUACCCUGGUAGUC
This 778-nucleotide ribosomal RNA is filed under the name Kosmotoga sp. enrichment culture. RNAcentral describes it as "bacterial SSU rRNA". It matches the Rfam family "Bacterial small subunit ribosomal RNA", at positions 8 to 795 of the family's 1533-position model. The record is from RNAcentral. Lineage: Bacteria; Thermotogati; Thermotogota; Thermotogae; Kosmotogales; Kosmotogaceae.